RNAcentral lists this ribosomal RNA (506 nucleotides) under uncultured bacterium. RNAcentral describes it as "partial 16S ribosomal RNA". It matches the Rfam family "Bacterial small subunit ribosomal RNA", at positions 29 to 523 of the family's 1533-position model. The record is from RNAcentral.
AGUGAACGCUGGCGGUAGGCCUAUCACAUGCAAGUCGAACGGCAGCACAGAGGAGCUUGCUCCUUGGGUGGCGAGUGGCGGACGGGUGAGGAAUACAUCGGAAUCUACUCUGUCGUGGGGGAUAACGUAGGGAAACUUACGCUAAUACCGCAUACGACCUACGGGUGAAAGCAGGGGAUCUUCGGACCUUGCGCGAUUGAAUGAGCCGAUGUCGGAUUAGCUAGUUGGCGGGGUAAAGGCCCACCAAGGCGACGAUCCGUAGCUGGUCUGAGAGGAUGAUCAGCCACACUGGAGCUGAGACACGGUCAAGACUCCUACGGGAGGCAGCAGUGGGGAAUAUUGGACAAUGGGCGCAAGCCUGAUCCAGCCAUACCGCGUGGGUGAAGAAGGCCUUCGGGUUGUAAAGCCCUUUUGUUGGGAAAGAAAUCCAUCUGGUUAAUACCCGGGUGGGAUGACGGUACCCAAAGAAUAAGCACCGGCUAACUUCGUGCCAGCAGCCGCCGUAA